Cyprinus carpio (common carp) is the source of this 534-nucleotide long non-coding RNA. NCBI's taxonomy places the organism in Eukaryota, Metazoa, Chordata, Actinopteri, Cypriniformes, Cyprinidae. The record is from Ensembl.
AUGUCGGAAAUCAUCUUGGAAAACAAACCUAAGCUCAUCAAAUGGCUUAGUUUGGAUUAUAAAUUUGUUUUGCAACAUGUUCAAGCUAAAAAACUUAUAACACAGUCGCACUAUGAUGACUUGAUGGCCAUGAAGGCGAGCGACAGUAUCAUCAAACUUUUGGACAUCAUCCGUAGAAGAGGAGAAAAUGUGUGUCGAGAUUUUCUGGAUUUGCUAAAAGAUGAUGAUGUGAAUGAAAUAUCGCCGGAGCUAAGAGACUGGGUCAAAACAGUUGACUCAGAAGAAACUGCCAACAUGACAGGACAAUCACGCAUCCAAGUAAACAGCCAAAUCUCUGCAUCAGAUGGCAGCAGUGUAAUUUCGCCUACCAUAAUUGGUGGAAAUCUAGGGUCCUUUAUAAUGAAUACGACGGUUGCACCCUCUGGCAGAUCAGAUGUGCAGACAAAUUACCAAGAAACCUGAUAGAGACUGUGAACACAGGCCAGUACAAGAUUAUCAGAAGUUUCUAAAAUAAAACACCAGUCUGCUGGUUCA